RNAcentral lists this long non-coding RNA (8181 nucleotides) under Triticum aestivum (bread wheat). RNAcentral's name for it is "long non-coding RNA (TAES_LNC000100)". The record is from RNAcentral. Lineage: Eukaryota; Viridiplantae; Streptophyta; Magnoliopsida; Poales; Poaceae.
CGCCCACUCCCACCCGCCUCGACCCUCCGCCGCACGCCGCAGCUCCGCCAACUGCACGCCACAAAAACCAAAGCUCCGGUAAGCAUUCAUCCCCACACGACCAUGAGCCUUGCCUUGUUGCUUACCCGGCCGUCGCGCAGUUCGAAGACCACCGCGUCCUUGGAGAACGGCACCGGCCGCACAGCCGCCACCUGUUCGUCGAAUUGCGUAGGCGUCAUCAGCGACCCCGUUACCAACAAAUAUAACAAGCGAAGAGGACCAGAAUGACACCGCCGCAGUCAGCUGCAGGGUGCCGAGGUGUUGGUUUGCGGGGCUGACCUUUUCGUCGCAGCUCCCCCUGAAGCUGCUCGCGUAGUGCGCGUCCGCGGCGCCCAGCGUGGCGCAGCUCUGCUCGCCGCCGCCGGCGACGUCCGUCGUCGUGCUGGAUGGUUCCGACGGGUGCCCGUGGCUCGUCCACCUCCACGUUCGCUCGUCCAGGUGCCGCAGGUAGACGUGUCCGUCGGACCCGAUGACGAACAACUGGGUGCCGUCGAAGCACGGCCCUGGGGCGACCACGAGGGUGACGUCCCGGUGGGGCGUCCCGUGCUCUACCCACUCCCACCCGUCCUGCGGGCUGAAAUGGUACUCCACGAGGCCCCCAUGCUCGGAAAUCAUGAAGAUGGAGCCGGUGAGGGAGAGAGGGGACGGCCUCAUCGCUGUCCCAGGGGAUCUUGACAGGACGAGGUGAGGUGAUUGGUAGUGCCUGUGCCAUAGCUCUGUAAUUCUGUUAUACUGGUACAUCCGACCGUUCCGGCCGACCACGAAGAUGAUAUUUCUUCUAAACACCUCCUGAUCCACGAUGAAUGCAACCUUGGUAUCCGGAGGGCUGUGGCAGUCCUUCCACUUGAAUUUACGCAAUGCCACCUAAAAAGGUUUAAAACAACUUUUAUUUUUACAAGACAAAGCAAGCAGCUUAAGGACAAAACAUUAUGUAAUUUGGGAUUUACUAUUUUUCCAGGUGAAUAUAUACUCUAAAACUAUAUUGAGAGCAGAGCACAUUUGAAUGAUGGUGUUGUUUGAGAAAAAAAUGAUAAUCAUUAGCCUCCUCCUUUAGUGUGAAGGAGGGAAGAACAGAAGGGUGGUUGGUUCUCGAUUAUCAUGACUAUUUGUCCUAAAUUUGUUAGAAGCUCAUGUUUUUAACAUGAUUGCACCUGUAGUUAAUCCGGUCAUGAUUCUUAACACUUUUGAGAUAUCGCUGAUUUGUAUUAAAACUAUUACAUUGGCCAUAUCUACCAAGUAAUUGCGGAAAGAUCAAUCUUCUAUGAACUACCUAUCCUCUGGAAUAUUAAAGGAUAUGAAGAAAGAGUGAUUUGUUCCAUUUCUUCUGAUGCUGAAUUUUGUGUGCAUGUGUUCCAGUUCUCUAGCUAUACUCCUAUCAGUGAAUUCUUAGCUACUUCUGUACUCUAUGGGUUAAUGCAUGCUUCGUAUACAUGGAAUUAUCUUGAGUAGAAGAUUCAUAAUUUCUCUUAUGGAAAACAGAAAAACUAUUGCUCAUUAGUCAUUACCAUGCAGCGUCUUUUCUUUUUCCGAGGAGAUACGUGGGACUUUGGGCAGGAGAUAAAAAAGAACGGCUUUUGCUCAUAAAGGUGCAUGCAUUUAAUCUUGGAUAAUGCAAUAUCUUGUAUGAAAGUGCACAUUUUAUCUUUUGUAUAAUAAGACAACCCCGGAAGCCCGGUGCACGUAGCUCCCGCUUGCGCAGGGUCCGGGGAAGGGUCCGACCAUUUUGGGUCUUUUGUACGCAGCCUUUCCCUAUAUUUCUGUAAGAGGCUGUUUCCAAGACUUGAACCCAUGAUCUCAUGGUCACAAGGCUCCCCUUCCAUAAUAAGAAACAUUUAGUGAAAUUAAAACAUGUUUGGACUUCUACCGUGAAUUGUAGCAAUCUGCCUCUCUUGUUAACAAAGAAAAGUGCAUCAUCUGUUGUCACUCUGCGUGAUAACCCAGGGAUGCCAUCCCAUGGAGGCCCACUUGCAACCUGUCUUCCCUUCCUCAUUGCUGUGCAAUUAAUCCAUAAGAGUUCGUCACCAUUUCUUUCUCUAAUAUGUAAGUUCCCAUGAAGAUCAACAAGAUACAAGCUGCCAUUAUAGCUUCCUAGUGUACCCUUCAUGCCUGUAAUGUGUUCAUGUCUUAGCCAUAGCCAAACACCAUUGCUGUUUAGAUAUUCCAAAGUUAAUCCGUUAUCUGUUAUGAGGAAAAGUGAUCUAUCUGCAUGCAUCACCCGCAUAUGGAAGUUAAGAUAAAUGCUUCGUGAUAGAAUGUUGUAUGAUUCAGUUUCAUCACUCUCAUGACUAUGACCAUGAAGGUAGUGUUGCUUCUCUUCUGCUUUACGCCUUCUAGGUGGGGCAUUGCUCAGGUUGGUUGGUUCCGUAUCUGCAGCUACAUUCAUCGCUCCAGUAAUACAGUUUGUAGGGCCAUGCUCUUCAGUGCAAUAUUCUGCAUUCCAACCUUCUGUUUCUGGUGUAUCUAGGAUAGACCACUCAUACUUGUUUGGCAGUUUCCUUCUUAUGCUAUUUUGUUGACUUGGACCAAAAUGAUCACCUCCCAUGCCAGGUAAAUGUAGCUCUCCAAGCCUACCAUCAUCUAGCUGGAAUAUCAAUCUGCCAACUUGAAUCUGUAGACCUCGAACACUUGCUGCUACUUUUGCAUGGUCAGGAGACAUGUGAUUUACCCAUAGUCCUCUAAUCUUAUUGCUUGAAGCCCCACCUUGUCCAAUGGAGAAGAUAAACAAUGUCAACUUAGUUUCUUCUUGGAACUUAAGAAUUGCUGUAGUAAGAAUUGAAUCGAUUGGUAUUUUGUUCAGAAAAAGAUUACAUGCAAUGAUAUGGUCCUAGGCGAGAAGUUGAGAGUAUGUCAUGUUUAUUGCUGACAAAAGAAUAGUAUACAACAUCAUAUCAUGACCUGAGUGUGGCAUAUGGGCUUAAAGAAGAGUUUAUUGCUGCUGAUUCACUUUACUUGAAGGACAUCCUAUCUUGAACUAGCAUAUUCAUAACUAUGGUUCAUUUUUAUCUUUCAACUCCAAGAACAAUUCAAUAUAAUUACGUAAAUUGUUCUGCUAUGUGAAGUUCCUUCAAAUUCAUCUUUGAUGACCUCAGUCACAAAAGAAUAAAGAUGUCCAAAGACUAAGGAAGGAGUUUCCACCUGUAUAUUUUGUAAACUGAUACUCAAAUACUUUUCCUGUGGUUGUUGUAAAAAACAUUGAAGUCGCAUCAUUAGAUUCAUCCUGUUGAACUUCUGUAAUUGAACUUAGUCUUUGACCCUUAGGUGCUCCAUGUUUAUCCCACUUCCACUUUCUUCUAUGCAAGCGCCGCUCCACUAAAAGACCAUCCUGCCAAUCUAUAAACACCUUUAACAACUGAAUAUAUCACAAAAUAAAUGUUAUUUUAAUGGAUCAGAUUCCCUAGGGUCAUAGACAUGACAUAAUCAUACUACAGUAGCUAGCAAACUUUUUUUGUAGUUCUUUUUCUUUUGAAUUAAAGUUGUUAGUUUCUGUUAAACUGUGUGGAUGAUACUUGUUGCACUGUUAUGGUUAACUUGGAACCAUCAUAGUUAUCAGGAACACACAAUAUAUUAUUCCCAAAUCAUAAAAAGCGAGUUCACCUUUGAAAUACAUAAUAUGCAAAUGGGUAGUGUUGCCUUGUUAGCUUUGAUCCAGCCAUAAAUUGCUUAUGAUAAUACAGAUUCUUACAUACCUUGGUUAUCAGAAAGAGUGAUACUGAAUUAGAGCCUAAGAGACCAUGCAAAGCACACCCAACAGAUGAGCUCAGCGAGACAUUUUUGGUUGUUUGUUCACUCCAUAUAUGCUUUUUCCAUGAUGGCUUCGUUUCCUUAUCAAAUUCAUAUAGGUCUCCAGUAGAACUGCACUGCAUUAUCCCAUGUUAGCAUUGGUAUGCAUCAACAGUAUAUCAAAUCUUGAACUAACAGCAUAAAUGAGUAUAGCGUUGUCUUGUACGAGAAAGUUGAUAUAUUUAUUGUUUAACUUGUCCUCCUAGUUAUGUUUAAUGGAACGACUGAGAUAUGGGUAGAAACUAUGUUACGGGAAGUUGGAGGAAUACAUUUGAUAUUCCUUGAACCCUUUUGUUUCAGUCAUUGACCAGUAUAGGAGCAAAUUGAGACUUCACCGAACAAAUCUUUUCCUUCUAGGGUAGGUUGAAAAGGUACCCCCAACCCCCACCCACCCCCUCAUAUCCUCAAAUGCACAUGCUAAACAUACCUUACUGUGAACACGGUCCCUGGUCUUGCAUUUUCAGCAUCAGAUAUAUAUGAUACAUCUGCUCCUGGGGGACGCCCAUGGCAAUUCCACCUAUGCAUCAGUAGCAUUCAACCAUUAUUUUAUUUGAAGCCAUGGUAGUAGUGAUAAAAGAAGUUGCAAAUAGUGUGAUUUCUAUAAAUAGGUUAUAGGAAAUUCUGCAAAUUAUUUUUGUUCAUUCAGUUAACCAAACCUUCUGCCAAAACUUCAAAAACACUGUUGGCAUUUUCUAGUCAGGAAAAGAAUAUCUUAAAAUCACCAGCCCUUUAUUCUACCAUGCCAUCGUGUUUUAAGUAAUUAUGGAUCUCUUAAAGUAUGUAAUAUAGCUAAUAUUUCUUUUGAACACCUUUUCCAUGAAUAUAGUAUUUCAGGAUACAUAACUAAUGAUGGAACACACAUCAUUGGCCCCAUAUACGCAUUUAACCUUGUAUUAGAAUUUUAAAGUUCAAAGCAGAGAAGCAAAUAGAAGAGGUUGCAACCUACUUGACAGUAGGCCUUUAUAUCUGUGACUCUACUCGACCCCCUGAGUUAUUUUUACUAUUAUAAUGUGGGUCCAGCACAAAAAUAACUUAUAAUAUUCGCCUUUUCUACUGAUUUUUGUGUGUAAAUACCACUUACUGGAAUGAGGAUCAAAAUAUCUAUACUAAGAUCAAAUAUGAUGUCUUCGCCAGAUUUAUCUACAUAUUAAAUUAUAUUUUAAGUCAGCCACAACAAAUAGUCAUAUGUCAAAGCUUUUGGUGGGUUUCUUUUCUGUGGUUUAUGUUUGAAUUUUGAGCAAGAUAUUACAAGCAUGCAAGAGGAUGAAGUUGAGUUGCUGACUCAUACCUUAGAGGCUGAAGUUCUGUGACCUCAAUUAGGGACCCAUUCGUGAUAGAAAGGAAAAGUUUCCUGAUUGAGAAAGAAUAAGUUCUUUCAACCACUGUUUGUUGGUAAUUCCAAAUUGACUAGAUACCCGCAUUUUAUGCGCAGAUGAACCUUACAAGGAAGCAUUAGGGUAGAAAUUCACCUUCCAUUAUGUGAUACGACCCCAUUUUUUAUGUGUGUAGCUUGACUUUGUGUCUUCUCUCCAAGGUUUGUGAAAUGUUGUUCAUAGCUGAAUGUCAUCUCAGUCCAGAUAGGCUGGGCAUGUUCAUUUAGCUGUAGCUGAAAAGAUGUAGAGUAGAACUAUUAGAGUGAAAGCAUAAUAGCAACUUCUUCUUUUCUUGAAUGGGCAGUAUUGGAAGAAAACGCCGAGAUGGCAGGAGUCUUACAAGAGGGAAAAACCGAAAACUGAAAAGCUAACAGUGACUAAUCUGUUUGCAACUGAAUUCAUGCAGAAGUCUAUUUCACUUGACGAUAUAGGAUUUAUGCUUUGCUGGAUAGGAUAGAUAAGUUCAUUCUGAAUCGUAUCACAUCUUCAUGUUAUAUAUCAGAUACUUCAGAUAUGCAAAUAGAAUGUCCUGAAGUCUUUUUAGAAGGAGAAAAAACAGGACAAUCUAAUCAUAAUUCCAUUGGUGGCUUACUAAUGGAUACAUAUUACACAAAUUCUGGACAUUAUUUUAGCCUUACCUAGCAGGAAUUAAUUUCCUUCAUUGCUCCAGUAAUAACAUUGGGUAUGCAACUAGUGUUCCUCUGUUACAUACAUUUCUGUUUGACUUCUCCUGUAUAUUUUCCUUCACUCUCCAUGACUAUCUCCGCUGUCUUUUCUCAACAUCGUAAGUUCUGGUUGUACUAAAGUCACCACAUACUAGUUUUGUUUCGAAUGACACAAUCUGUACAAGUAAUGGAAGUAAACCAGAUUUAUUUUUGUUGGAAAAACGGAAAUUGCUAAUUGAGCUCGAGCUCCAUGGAGCCCUUAAUUUGAAAAAAAUUCCAAAAUCAAAUUUUUAGGUUUAAAAAUUUCUGAAAAAAAUACACAUAUAUAUGUGGAUAUGUACUACUUGUCUACAAAGUUUCAUGGCGAAUACUUUUCUGUCUCGGGCAUAAAGUAUCACCUACUAUUCCUCAAAAGAAAAAAGUAUAAGCUACUGUUAUAAAGAUCUCAAACAGUUCAAGAAUGAUGCAAGGGUGAUCUUUGCGAGAGACAGUAAGCUCGGUGAUAUGGGCUACUGUAGAAGAUUAUAACCCUAAGUCUGAAUAAGCUAGAAGAACUACUGACUGUUAGUAGAUGAUAUGCUUACCUGGUAGAGGAUUCCAGCCUCGGACAGAGCAAGGAUGGUUGUGUUGACGAUGAAAGUUGCUGUUGCAUACCCAGCCGCUGUUGGAAGCUCAUGAGGAGCAAUCACCCACAUGACCCCGUUCCAGAACCUCUCAUAGAUUGAUCCACUUUGGCCUGUCACCCACACGGACGACUCUGACAUCCUUGCCAAGGAGAUUCUUUUCCUUAUGGUCAGGACGGGAUCAGUAUCCUUCUCUUGACUCGAGACGGAAGCACGGCCAUGUUUGCUUUCUGGUUGCUUGAUCGAGCCUACCUUUGUGCAGGUGCCGUUGAUGCAGGACAUGAGAUUGAAAGGCAUGCUUAUUUCCACCCAGGUAUUGCUCUGCUCCUGGUACUCCCAGAACUUAUCUGUCUUCUGCUUAAACUCCACUUCUCCCUUCGGGUUCGGAUGUGGGGUGCACCAUGAAUGGGCAGACAAAGCAGACUCCAUAACGAGAAGACAUGCUACAAAACACAAAAAACACGAGAGAAAUCUGCAAGCUGGACCAGCCAUGGCCAUGCUGUAGAUCUUAUCCUUGGUGCCGAUGCAUGCCAGCGCCAGAGCCUGUCCUCUAUAGCUGCGCCUGUGCGAUCCUCGGAGAAGACGAAGUCUGGAGGCUAGGCAUCAUGAGCCUUUUAUCUAAGCAUAAGCAAGAGGAGGUAUCAUGAGCUUCUCCGGGGAGGACCCCUCUGUACUUGUGUGUGCUGCAGUUGGAAGCACAUAAGGUAUGCAGUGCAGAUAAAUAAAUAUUUCAGGGGAGAGGGGGGGAGGAGGUAUUACUGUUGGUAUCUCGGUGUGAGCUAUCAACUGCCAUUCGAUGAAGGCCAUAAAGCCAUUAGCAUAGCGCCUUGGUGGUUUGCUUUCCUUUUCAAUAAUGCCUUUCCGUCUGUAACUUUCUCACCCGUCCUUGUUAAUACCUCGAUAAACUAUAAUAUCUGUAUAGCAGAUGGUUGUUGCACCCUCACACCUCCCACACAUUUUUCAGCACUUCUCGGCGUAGUGCUGGCCCUUUAUGAAUAACCUUUUAUGUCUAUAAUGUAGGGGAGGAAAAAGAAGGGCGAGGGAAUCUUGAAUAUUUCUAUUGGACAAGUUUUGUGGAAUCUGAUGUUUUCCUAUUCAAUUGGGUGGAAUAAAGCUAGUACGCCUGUGCUGAAAUCGUCCUUGUCCCCUGCUGCCUCUGAAGUCGAUGGUUGCUUAGGAGUUCAGAUGUCCAUCUGCAACUUGCCGACGCUAACCACCACCGGUGACUGCAGGGUCUUGAGAAAGGUGAAAGCAGCUCCACAUUGCUGAUAUCAUACUGCAGAAUUUUUCUUCGCCCUGCUUGUCAUCACUUGCUGAAUGGAAUAUUGGGGCCUGACUGAUUGAUCACCCUGAGAAGGUCUCGCUAAGAUUUUCGUCGCAAAAGAAGAGAAAAAAAGAAGUCGGCUAAACUUCUUAGGUCUGUAGGAGGGUAAGUGCAACGUGUGUUCUGCGUCACUCUUGACUUACUGUAUAAAUUACUCGUUCUGUUCUUUCCAUUAUUGGUGGAAAGGAAAUUCUUAAUUCACUCGCAGUAAUCAGUAGCUAAGUCAAACAUCUUGCCACCUUGUAUUUUGCCUAGUAAUUUGUGCAGUCACGCAAGUGAUCUCCUCUAAACUAAUCUGGAGUAUAAUAUUAUUUGUUUGAAAGAUCCAGCAAUCGCUGGCUUCGAUUCCGUAUCAAGCAUGGAGCAGACAAAACAAG